UCUAAUAUGGCAGAAAAAUGCAUUGGCCUUAAAAUCCAUAAAUAAAGAUAAUUCUUUUUUUAGAA
Molecule: transfer RNA, 65 nt
Filed under: Brachycentrus kozlovi
Lineage: Eukaryota; Metazoa; Arthropoda; Insecta; Trichoptera; Brachycentridae
Description: tRNA-Leu
Rfam family: tRNA
About the family: Transfer RNA (tRNA) molecules are approximately 80 nucleotides in length. Their secondary structure includes four short double-helical elements and three loops (D, anti-codon, and T loops). Further hydrogen bonds mediate the characteristic L-shaped molecular structure. tRNAs have two regions of fundamental functional importance: the anti-codon, which is responsible for specific mRNA codon recognition, and the 3' end, to which the tRNAs corresponding amino acid is attached (by aminoacyl-tRNA synthetases). tRNAs cope with the degeneracy of the genetic code in two manners: having more than one tRNA (with a specific anti-codon) for a particular amino acid; and 'wobble' base-pairing, i.e. permitting non-standard base-pairing at the 3rd anti-codon position.
Source: RNAcentral